Molecule: long non-coding RNA, 1708 nt
Filed under: Pan troglodytes (chimpanzee)
Lineage: Eukaryota; Metazoa; Chordata; Mammalia; Primates; Hominidae
Description: long non-coding RNA NONPTRT017397
Source: RNAcentral
CGGUGGACGGUCACGUGAUACCCCCCAGUGUACCUUUCCUGCAGCGUGUUACGUGGCGCACAGAGAACGUCGCUUCCAGAGGACCGUUUUUUCGUAACUGGCAGUAGUAAUCUGGCGGUUGACACUCUCAUUGCCUGUAUAGGCUGAUGGCCCACUCACCUUUUUAGCUGGGCUCCUGACCUGUCCGGCCAGAAAGUUGCCAUUGGGAAACCUGGACCCCUACUGAAUGGAUCUGCUGGCACCUAGACCUCAGAGAAAGGGGAACUGAAGACUGAAGUCUGACCACUGUUCUUUGUUGAAAAUUUCUUUCUCAGGGGCUUGGAGGGAUCACAUCUACAAUCCUGAGCUAAUAUUCUCUUAUGCUGUCCCCAAAAUUUAAACGAAGCUUCUCUUUCUUAACCCAUUGCAAAUGAGAAAAAUCUUGAAUCUCCCUAUGACUGUAAGCCCUUAUUUCAAGAUAUCCCGCCUUUUUAGGCCAAAACCAAAGUGUAACCUCCAUCUAUUGAUUUACAAUUUUGCCUGUAACUUUGGCUUUCCUGAAAUUUACCCCAGCCUUAAAAAAAAAAAAGAACAGAAAAAGAAAACUGCAAGGCAUCAGGGAGGUCAGAAUUUGGGCAUGAGCUGCCUGAUCCUCCUUGCUUUGCAUCUUUGCAAAUAGAUGCCUUCAGCUGUGCAUGAUGGCUCACACCUCUCAUCCCAGCACUUUGGGAGGCCAAGGCGGGAGGAUUGCUCCAUCCCAGGAGUUCGAGAUCAGGGGCAAAAUGCCGAAACCCUGUCUCUACAAAAAAUUUAAAAAUUAGCUGGGCAUGAUGGUGCACUUCUGUAGUCCCAGCUACUUGGGAGGCUGAGGCAGGGGGAUUCCUUGAGCCCAAGAGGUUGAGGCUACAGUGAGCCAUCAUCGUGCCACUGCACUCCAGCCUGGGAAACAGAAUGAGACCCUGUCUCAAAACAAAACAUUUGAAAAAUAACAAGUUCAGGUGCAGUGGCUCAUACCUGUAAUCCCAGCACUUUGGGAGGCCAAAGUGGUCGGAUCACUUGAGGCCAGUAGUUCAUGACCAGCCUGGCCAACAUGGCAAAACCCCAUCUCUACUAAAAAUACAAAAAUUAGCUGGGUGUGGUGGCUGGCAACUGUAGUCCCAGCUACUCCGGAGGCUGAGGCAGGAAAAUCACUUGAACCCAGGAGGCGGAGGUUGAAGUGAGCCGAGAUCACACCACUGCACUCCAGCCUGGGCAACAGAGCAAGACUCCGUCUCCAAAAAUAACAAAAAAUAAACACAUGCCUUCCUUCCUACUGCUGCACAACCUCACUGUGUCAGGCAGGCAUCUCUGGAUCCAGCUGGUUUUUGUUUUGCUGAGGCUCGGCUUCUUCCUGGAACUUUUUGAAACAACACUCAAGGGUCUCAAAUGGCUGACAUGAUGGUCUGUGACCUGAAAGUUGUUGAAUAGUUGGAGUGUUCUGCAUUCAUGUGGAAGAGGCUAAAGGAUGUUUGAUGAAGCACUAUGGGCUGCCCUGGAAGAGGACUGAAGAAGCAGCUGCAGGUGAGUGCUGCUCUGAACAUAAUCCAGGACACUUUGUACAUAGUUGGUGGUUCUGUCACACUUAAAGCAAUGUUAAUUUCUUUAUUUUUAUUUUUUUAGAAUCAAGGUCUCUGUUGCCCAGGCUAGAGGGCAGUGGUGCAAUCACAGCUCACUGCAGCCUCAACAUCCC